This 250-nucleotide unclassified non-coding RNA is filed under the name plant metagenome. RNAcentral's name for it is "partial contains small subunit ribosomal RNA, internal transcribed spacer 1, and 5.8S ribosomal RNA". The record is from RNAcentral.
GUAGGUGAACCUGCGGAAGGAUCAUUAACACGUAUCCAACGUUAAAACAACCCUGUGAACCUUUAACGCGAUCUUGCAGCCCAUGAAAGCAGCAAUCCCUGGUAAAUCAUUGUUGACCAGCUUUUGAGUCAGGGACCUCUGCCGAUGAGAAGUUACAGUUGCAAUCGAGCGCUUGCAUUAAGUGACCUGGCAUCCCCAAGCAACCAUUGUCUGAAAGUGUCAUUGGUUGUGUAAGGAUGGCGCGUAAACG